GGGUUGUGAGGUUAAGCGACUAAGCGUACACGGUGGAUGCCCUGGCAGUCAGAGGCGAUGAAGGACGUGCUAAUCUGCGAUAAGCGUCGGUAAGGUGAUAUGAACCGUUAUAACCGGCGAUUUCCGAAUGGGGAAACCCAGUGUGAUUCGUCACACUAUCAUUAACUGAAUCCAUAGGUUAAUGAGGCGAACCGGGGGAACUGAAACAUCUAAGUACCCCGAGGAAAAGAAAUCAACCGAGAUUCCCCCAGUAGCGGCGAGCGAACGGGGA
Molecule: ribosomal RNA, 271 nt
Filed under: Escherichia coli
Lineage: Bacteria; Pseudomonadati; Pseudomonadota; Gammaproteobacteria; Enterobacterales; Enterobacteriaceae
Also listed under: 1 other name
Description: partial 23S ribosomal RNA
Rfam family: Bacterial large subunit ribosomal RNA
Source: RNAcentral